AACGAACGCUGGCGGCGUGCCUAACACAUGCAAGUCGUGCGAGAAAGUUCCUUCGGGAGCGAGUAAAGCGGCGCACGGGUGAGUAACACGUAGGUAACCUGCCCCCCAGUCUGGAACAACUAGAGGAAACUCUAGCUAAUGCCGGAUGAGACCACGAUCCCUUCGGGGGUUGCGGCCAAAGAUGGCCUCUACUUGUAAGCUAUCGCUGAGGGAUGGGCCUGCGGGCCAUUAGCUUGUUGGUGAGGUAACGGCUCACCAAGGCUGUGAUGGCUAGCUGGUCUGAGAGGAUGACCAGCCACACUGGGACUGAGACACGGCCCAGACUCCUACGGGAGCAGCAGUGGGAAUAUUGCG
RNAcentral lists this ribosomal RNA (354 nucleotides) under uncultured bacterium. RNAcentral's name for it is "bacterial SSU rRNA". It matches the Rfam family "Bacterial small subunit ribosomal RNA", at positions 29 to 368 of the family's 1533-position model. The record is from RNAcentral.